This 319-nucleotide ribosomal RNA is filed under the name uncultured eukaryote. Its description in RNAcentral is "partial 18S ribosomal RNA". It matches the Rfam family "Eukaryotic small subunit ribosomal RNA", at positions 1470 to 1796 of the family's 1831-position model. The record is from RNAcentral.
CCCUUAGAUGAUUUGGGCUGCACGCGCGCUACACUGACCCUAACAAUGAGCAACUGUCUGGCCUGAGAUGGCUGGGUAGCCUUUUCAACCCAUGUCAUGAUUGGGCUAGAUUUUUGUAAGUCUUGAUCUCUAACGAGGAAUCCCUAGUAUGCGUGAAUCAUCAAUCCAUGCAGAUUAUGUCCCUGCCCUUUGUACACACCGCCCGUCGCUCCUACUGAUUGGGUGAUCCGGUGAGCUGUUCGGCCAUAGCAAUGUUUCUUGAGCAGGGCAAUGAAUGUCUCGCAAACCUUGCCACUUAGAGGAAGGAGAAGUCGUAACA